Long non-coding RNA from Helianthus annuus (common sunflower), 1462 nucleotides. RefSeq lists it as uncharacterized. The record is from RefSeq and is a predicted model, not a curated record. Lineage: Eukaryota; Viridiplantae; Streptophyta; Magnoliopsida; Asterales; Asteraceae. The transcript has 5 exons.
GUUGGAUAAAACUUGUUUGUGUGACUGCUUUUUAUUAUUUAUUUUUGCAGGUAUGAUCUUUUGCACAAUGGACGAGCUCUUCAAAGUUGCUCAGGUAUGUUUAUGAGAAAGAAUACAUGUUCCCAUGUGGGUUGGGUUGUGUAAUGGCUCCAAACAAACAUGACUGUGUGGGUUGGGUAAAGGGUCAAAACGAGCAGCUUUUAGAAAACAUGUCAAAUGGGUUCGGUUCAAAUGGGUCGGGUCAGAGCAAGUUCGCAUGCUAUACAUCCACCAUUCCACCCAUUAUUUACCAAAAGGACCCCUGAAGUUUCUGCAUAUGUUGGUGGAUAGCAUGAUAGUGUUGAAGAAAUCAACACUGAAAAGUUUGAAUUGGAUCCUGGAAUUGCCCCAGUAGUUGUAAAAGGAUCCGAAAUCCACUGGUUGUAUUUAACAAGAAAAUAACUAAAGCAGGGGGCACUGCGUAAGGCUGGCUUGCCCGUUCCAAGUUGUGAGUCGGACCACGUGUCUCGAGCGAAGGCUUGGGUCACGUGGUUCCUAAAGCAGGGGGCACUGCGUAAGGAUGACUUCACAGAUAAAAUGCCCAGCCCGGCAAGUGUUUACAGUUGAAUUUAGUCUCCGUGAUUGUUGUAUUAUCAUUGUUACUGUUUUUGCCAUUUACAUGCGAUUAAGACGGUAUGCUGAUGAAAAUCGUGUCGAAAUAAGUGUUCUUAAGCUUCAGGUAUUCUGCUUUUCAAGAAUCUGUAUAGUACAAUUUGUGGUAAUUACUACUAACUUUGUAUAUUGUUAAGGUUGGAUUAUCGGGUAUCGCUAGAUCACUGCAAAAGGAUCUUAAUCAAAUAGCGGAGACAGCUGAUACCUCCACCCCUAAGGGCUUCGGGCAUAUAUUACAAGAGACAACACUAUCCAUGCUUCAACAUCCUGAUUAUUGCAUUUCAGGUUAUUCUUCGGUGGAAGUGAAAAGGGGAGUAGACGAAUCACGAAUGCGAGAAAAGAUUUAAUGAACUUUCUAAAGAAGAAAGGGAUAAAUUUGACGAGGAGACUCUGGUCAACUUCAACAACAUCAGAAAGCAAAGUGGAGGUAUCCGAUGCAGUCUGUAACAAAUAUGUUGUGGUUACGAUCAUUGUGGCUGCUAGCGGCGCACAUGAACUGCCACCGAUCAAAACGAGGGAACUUGUGAAGAUAGCUUUGCAAAAGCUUGCAUCUAUCUCGUCAAACAAUAUACUGGCAGUUGAGGUGUUAUGGACCCCACAGAAGGAAAAUGAUACUCUUACAGAGCAGAAUAUGCUUCAAGAUUAUCCACUGUUGCACCCUCUAUAGGCAAAGAACAGAAGCAGAAAAUCGAAUCUUAAAGUAACAUUAAUAUGAGAUUCAUUUCAUGUAUUCUGGUGGCUAUAGUAUGUUACUCUCAUUAUAUUGUUAUCGAUAAAUAUUCGUUAUAUAAAAAAGUUAUAUUUUACAGUA